RNAcentral lists this small RNA (58 nucleotides) under Arabidopsis thaliana (thale cress). Its description in RNAcentral is "ATSL069110". Lineage: Eukaryota; Viridiplantae; Streptophyta; Magnoliopsida; Brassicales; Brassicaceae. The record is from RNAcentral.
AUUUUUCUUCUUUUUCUUCACAAGAGAAAGAGAAAGAGACGACGGCAAAAUGAACAAA